GAUCAACAAAAUUUAGCUAGACCUACCAAGAAAAGAGACAAGAGUUGACUUACAAAAAUCAGAAAUAAAGUAUCACCUUAAAGAAUUUUUUUAAUUAUAAAGAAAAUUAUUUUUAAAAAAACCUAAAACUGAGUCAGGCAACAUAUAAAAAGGAUCAUACACCAUGACCAACUAGGACUUAUCCCAGAAAUGCAAACCUGGUUCACAUAUGAAAGCCAGUCAAUAGAAUACACCAUAUUAUUAGAAUAAGGGUAAAAAAUGUAUCAUCAUCUUAAUAGAUGACAAAAUUGAACACCCUUUCUUGAUAAAAGAAAACACUCAACAGACUAGGAAUACAGGGAAUUUCCUUAACCUCAUAAAGGGCACUUAUGAAAUCAAAAAUACUUAGAAAAAAAUUGACAAAAAAGUGCAAGAGUUGUACACAGAAACUGACAAGCUGAUGCUGAAAUUGAUGUUGAAAUUGAUAUGGAAGUGCAAAGAGCUCAGAAUAGCUAAUACAAACUCGGAAAAGAAUAAAGUUGGAGGACUCACAUUUGUUGAUUUCAAAACUUACUACAAAACUACAGUAAUCAAGACAGUGUAAUAAUGACAUAAUAAUAGACACAUAGGUCAAUGGGAUAGAAUUGAGAACCAAGAAAUAAACCCUUACAUUUAUGAUGAAUCUAUUUUCAAAAAGACUGCCAGGAUAAUUUAAUGGGGGAAAGAAUAAUCUUUUCAACAAAUGUGCUGGGAUGCCUGAAUAUCCACAUGGAAAACAAUGAAAUUGGACUCCUGCCUCACAGUAUAAACAAAAAUUAACUCAAAAUGAAUUAUAGAUGUAAAGGUAAGUGUUAAAACUAUAAAACUCUUAGAAGAAAACAUAGGUAAAAAUCUGUGUGACCUUAGAUUAGGCAAUGAUUUCUUAGAUAUGAUAGCAAAAACAAGAGCGACAAAAGAAAAAAUAGAUAAAUUUGACUUCAUCUAAGUUAAAUACUUUUUUGCUUCAAAGCCACCAUCAAGAAAGUUAAGACAACACAAAGAAUGGGAGAAAAUAUUUGAAAAUCAUGUAUCUGACAAGGAACUGGUAGCUAAAAUAUGUAAAGUAGGCCAAACGCGGUGGCUCACGCCUGUAAUCCCAGCACUUUGGGAGUCUGAGGCGGGUGGAUCACGAGAUGAGGAGAUGGAGGCCAUCCUGGCCAACAUGGUAAAACUCCGUCUCUACUAAAAAUACAAAAAUUAGCUGGCCUGAU
RNAcentral lists this long non-coding RNA (1229 nucleotides) under Homo sapiens (human). Its description in RNAcentral is "non-protein coding lnc-RAB9B-3:1". The record is from RNAcentral. Lineage: Eukaryota; Metazoa; Chordata; Mammalia; Primates; Hominidae.